This 433-nucleotide ribosomal RNA is filed under the name uncultured bacterium. RNAcentral's name for it is "partial 16S ribosomal RNA". It matches the Rfam family "Bacterial small subunit ribosomal RNA", at positions 28 to 507 of the family's 1533-position model. The record is from RNAcentral.
AACGAACGCUGGCGGCAGGCCUAACACAUGCAAGUCGAGCGCGCCCUCCGGGGUGAGCGGCGGACGGGUGAGUAACGCCUGGGAACGUGCCCUUCUCUGCGGAAUAGCCUCGGGAAACUGAGACUCAUACAGCAUACGCCCUUUGGGGGAACGAUUUUUCGGCGCAGGAUCGGGCCGCGUUGGGUUAGUUAGUUGGUGGGGUACUGGCCCACCAAGGCGAGGAUCCAUAGCUGGUUGGGGAGGAUGACCAACCACGCUGGAGCUAAGACACGGCCCAGACCCGUACGGAAGGGAGCGGUGGAGAAUCUUAGACAAGGGAGGCAAAUGUGAUGUAGCCAUGUCGGGUGAGUGAUGAAGGCCGUAGGGUUGUACAGCCCGUUCAGCUGGGGAGAUAAUGACGGUACCAGCAGAAGAAGCCCCGGCUAACUCCGUG